GAGUUUGAUCCUGGCUCAGAUUGAACGCUGGCGGCAUGCUUUACACAUGCAAGUCGAACGGUAACAGGCCGCAAGGUGCUGACGAGUGGCGAACGGGUGAGUAAUGCAUCGGAACGUGCCCAAUCGUGGGGGAUAACGCAGCGAAAGCUGUGCUAAUACCGCAUACGAUCUACGGAUGAAAGCGGGGGACUCGCAAGAGCCUCGCGCGAUUGGAGCGGCCGAUGUCAGAUUAGGUAGUUGGUGGGGUAAAGGCUCACCAAGCCAACGAUCUGUAGCUGGUCUGAGAGGACGACCAGCCACACUGGAACUGUGACACGGUCCAGACUCCUACGGGAGGCAGCAGUGGGGAAUUUUGGACAAUGGGCGCAAGCCUGAUCCAGCAAUGCCGCGUGCAGGAAGAAGGCCUUCGGGUUGUAAACUGCUUUUGUACGGAACGAAAAGGUCUGGGUUAAUACCCUGGGCUGAUGACGGUACCGUAAGAAUAAGCACCGGCUAACUACGUGCCAGCAGCCGCGGUAAUACGUAGGGUGCAAGCGUUAAUCGGAAUUACUGGGCGUAAAGCGUGCGCAGGCGGUUUUGUAAGACAGUCGUGAAAUCCCCGG
This 602-nucleotide ribosomal RNA is filed under the name uncultured bacterium. RNAcentral describes it as "bacterial SSU rRNA". It matches the Rfam family "Bacterial small subunit ribosomal RNA", at positions 9 to 606 of the family's 1533-position model. The record is from RNAcentral.